GACUCUUUAGAUUGUUCCCCCAAUGUUUUGGUGAAAUAGCACUAUGAUGAUAAACAAAGUUAGAUUUUAGGGGGAAAUGAAGUUUCAGAAGAAUUUUUGGUGUCUCCCCUCUUCCUGAAAUUUUCACACUCUCUCUAAUUCCCGCUAUUCUCUUCCCUCCCAUUGCUAUUUGCUCUCUCAAAUUCGUCCUUUAGUAGUAUAAGGAUUUAUCUCUUUCUAUUGUCAGAACUUUGGAGGUCUCUCUUAA
This 247-nucleotide unclassified non-coding RNA is filed under the name Hevea brasiliensis (rubber tree). The record is from RNAcentral. Lineage: Eukaryota; Viridiplantae; Streptophyta; Magnoliopsida; Malpighiales; Euphorbiaceae.